CCUACGGGGUGCUGCAGUGGGGAAUAUUGGACAAUGGGCGAAAGCCUGAUCCAGCCAUGCCGCGUGUGUGAAGAAGGCCUUCGGGUUGUAAAGCACUUUCAGUGGGGAAGAAAGCCUUGGGGCUAAUACCCUCGAGGAAGGACAUCACCCACAGAAGAAGCACCGGCUAACUCCGUGCCAGCAGCCGCGGUAAUACGGAGGGUGCGAGCGUUAAUCGGAAUGACUGGGCGUAAAGCGCGCGUAGGCGGUCUGAUAAGCCGGUUGUGAAAGCCCCGUGCUCAACCUGGGAACGGCAUCCGGAACUGUCAGGCUAGAGUGCAGGAGAGGAAGGUAGAAUUCCCGGUGUAGCGGUGAAAUGCGUAGAGAUCGGGAGGAAUACCAGUGGCGAAGGCGGCCUUCUGGACUGACACUGACGCUGAGGUGCGAAAGCGUGGGUAGCAAACAGGAUUAGAUACCCUUGUAGUC
Molecule: ribosomal RNA, 465 nt
Filed under: Vreelandella stevensii
Lineage: Bacteria; Pseudomonadati; Pseudomonadota; Gammaproteobacteria; Oceanospirillales; Halomonadaceae
Description: partial 16S ribosomal RNA
Rfam family: Bacterial small subunit ribosomal RNA
Source: RNAcentral